RNAcentral lists this small RNA (47 nucleotides) under unclassified sequences. Its description in RNAcentral is "NAD+-I sequence". It matches the Rfam family "nadA riboswitch". The record is from Rfam by way of RNAcentral.
GCUUUCAACAUCCCCGUUCGGCGCCCCACGGCGGCCGGACUGAAGGC